CAUCACAGGCCUGGAACCAGACUCUGAGUACACUGUUAAAGUCUACACUGAACUCCAACAUGGAGGAAAGAGCCAGCCUGCUUCUCUUAAAAUCAAAACAGAGAUCCCAGUCCCAGAGCGUCUGACUGUGAGCUCCAUCACUGCAUCAUCUGCUAGCCUCAGCUGGCUGGUGUCUCCUGAGAUGGAGCAGACUCCACACAGCUUCCUGGUCUCUUACCAGAGUGAAGGGACUGAGCCAAAGUCUAUCUCUACUGAGUCAUGCAGCACAGACAUCACAGGCCUGAAACCAGGAACUGACUACACUGUUAAAGUCUACACUGAGCUCCAACAUGGAGGAAAGAGCCAGCCUGCUUCUGUUCAGAUGAAGACAGAGAUCCCAGUCCCAGAGCGUCUGACUGUGAGCUCCAUCACUGCAUCAUCUGCUAGCCUCAGCUGGCUGGUGUCUCCUGAGAUGGAGCAGACUCCACACAGCUUCCUGGUCUCUUACCAGAGUGAAGGGACUGAGCCAAAGUCCAUCUCUACUGAGUCAUGCAGCACAGACAUCACAGGCCUGAAACCAGUAACUGACUACACUGUUA
This is a long non-coding RNA of Clupea harengus (Atlantic herring), 578 nucleotides long. The record is from Ensembl. Lineage: Eukaryota; Metazoa; Chordata; Actinopteri; Clupeiformes; Clupeidae.